ACGGGUACCCGGACCUGCCCAACAACUCGUCUCCAUUCCCGACCUUCACACCCCUACCCGGUCCGCAGGGCACUCUCCUCCCCUCUCUCAGGCACGUCCUUGACCUCAGCUGCCACGUGCACAUGCUGGUGCCUUCCAGGCUGGAGUAUAGUGGCAUGAUCAUAGAUCACUGCAGCCUGAAACUCCUGGGCUCAAGCAAUCCUCCCACCUCAGCCUCCAUAUAGCUGGUGGGGAUCAAGUUUCUAACACAUGAAUCUUGGGAGACACAUUCAGACCAUCGCAGUGGCCUUAUAAGACUGUCCUCAGCAAACCAGAAAGCAGGUGGACCCUCAUCAGACACCAGAUGUGCCUGCACCUUGACCUUGGACUUGCCAGCCUUCAGAACAGUAAGAAAGAAAUGUGUGUUGUUUAAGCCACCCAGUCUAUGGUAACUUGUUAUAGCAGCCCACUAAGACCCCAAGAUAUUUAAAAACUCAUCAGCACCUGCUUUCUGCAUCUGGACCCUGAUCAUCUGGUGGGUUUACCAGUUACUUGUAGAGUGUCCCUGUGAUAGUUUUAGGUGUCAACUUGACAGGAUUGAGGGAUGCUUAGAUGGCUGGGGAAACACUGUUUCUGAGAAGGACCAUGUUUUUGGAGGAGACUGUUUUAUGGGUGAAUUUCGGGGGACAAAUUCAGAUCAUGGCACUGGCAUUAUAAAGAGAGACACAAAAGCUUGCUCUCUCUCUCUGCCAUGUGAGACUAACACACAAAGACUGCCAUCUGCAAACCAGAAGCAGGUGGGCUCUCCUCAGACACCAGAUCUGCCUGCACCUUGACCUUGGACUUGCCAGCCUUCAGAACUCUAAGAAAGAAAUGGUAGCAUGGCUUGGUCUAAGUUGGAAGGCCUGAGGAACAAGGAAGCCUAUGGUGGAACUGAGUUCAAGGAUAAAGACUUGAGAAUACCUACUCAGUGGGCUGAGUAGGGAAGACCAACCCUCAAUGUAGGGAGGCACUAUCCAAUCACCUGAGGGCCCAGACGGAACAAAAAGGUGGAAGAAGGGUGAAUUCUGUCUUCCAGAGCUGUGACACCCUUCUCCUUAUGCCCUUGUACCACACAACUCUAGGUUCUUUGGCCUUUGGACUCUGACACUUGCACCAGUGGCCCUCUGGAGCUCUCAAGCCUUUAGCCUUGAACUUAGUUACACCAUGUGCUUCCUUGUUUCUCAGGCCUUCUAACUUGGAUCGGGCCAUGCCACCAGCUUCUCUGAUUCUCCAGCUUGCAGACGGCAUAUUGUGACCCUGACAUUUAAUGACUUUAGUCUUAAGCAAUUUUCUUCCUCUGUGGAUUGAUAUUUGGAUAUCAAUGUGGAUAAUAAUUUCUCACCAAGGUAACUGUUAUGAGGUAAAAAUGAGUUAACAUAAGUAAAACCUAGCAAAAGCAAACCAUCCGAAAUGGUUAAUACUUACUAUUAGUACUUGAAGAAAUAAAUGUUUUCGACAAUAAACUUUGUGUGCAGUUUUCCUCAGCCAGUUUCAACUGAGCUGAUCAUUUAUGUGACAGUUUCAUUACCAAAUUGAUGUUCUCACCACUAUUUCAAGUGCAGUAUGAAACUUUAUUUGAAAUUCUAGAAAAAUAAUUAAUUAAGGUUGUUUGGCUCUUGCAGCCUGUAUUAAUUUCCUAGGGCAGCCGUAACAGAGGAGUCACGUACCACAUAACAUUUCGGUCAGCAGUCACCUGCAUUUUUGACAGUACUCCAUACAAUUAUAACACCAUUAUUUUUACUGUGCCUUUAUGUUUAGAUACACAAAUACUUACCGUGUUACAGUUGCCUAUAGUAUUCAGAGUACAGUCACAUGCUGUACUGGUUUGCAGCCCCAGCGCAUUAGGCCAUGCCAUUGCAGCCUAGCUGUGUAGUAGGCUCUCCUAGCUAGGUUUGUGAGUGUGCCCUCUAUUAUGUUCACACAAUGGCCUAAUGAUGCAUUUCUCACAACGUAUCCACGUUGUUAAGUGACCCAUGACUAUUCAUUCUACAAACUGAGAAGCUUAAGUAACAGAAACUUAUUUUCUCACAGACUUGGAAGACAGAAGCCUGAAAUCAAGUUGUUAGCAGGGCCAUUGACCUCUGAAGGCUCUAGAGGCAAAUCUUUUCUUGCCUCUUUCAGCUUCUGGUGGCUCCCAGCAAUCCCUGACAUUCUUUUCCUUGUAGUUACACAACUCUUAAUCCCUACCUCAGUCUUCACACGGUGUUCUCCCCUGUGGGUCUCUAAAUCUCUCACUCCUCAUAAGGACAAGUCUUUGCAUUCAGGGCCCCUCAAAUCCAGUGUGACCUCAAUUUGAUUACCUUUGUAAAGAUGCAAUUUCCGAAUAAGGUCACAUUCAUAUGUACUGGGGGUUAGGACUUGAACAUGUAUUUUUAGGGGGCACAAGUGAACCCACAUCAGAGGUCAAGCCCCAAAGCAGCCUACAUGGCGAAACCAGUCUUUUCAUGAAAAUGUAAACUGAGGUAAGGGCCAUGCUGCCUUGGAAAGCGUUCUGUGUUGUCAUUCCAGAGCCACAGGGGCUGGAUAGUGACAACAGAGGUGGGUUGCAGAUCUAUGGGCUACUCUUUGCAGAGGCAGUAAGUAGGGACUGCCACAGCAUUCAAUUAAUUUCCUGUAAGAAUACAUUUUAUUCAAGUUGAUAAAAAAGCUAUACUUGUUAACAUUGCAUAACAUUCCUGUGCUAUCAAAUGAGAAUCUCCAGAAAUGAAUUUGAAUAGCUAUAAAACCCACAUUUUUCUGCAGAUACAUGUGUGGCCACCUGAGAGCCAGGUCCCUCAGUGUCCACAGACAUAACCCUGCCACCUACCGCCUGCUUCCCAGAGCAGAUGAAGCUUCUGCCAACUCAGGCUUAUCCCAGUCUCUAUUUCAGGCCAUCAGCUGGAUGAAGAAUUAAUUUAAUAAGCAUCAAACAGCUUGCAAAGCAUUGGUGAGUGGCUGAGGGCCACGAAACGAGACCACCGUGUGGCCCAUCUUUGAAGAUGAAUCCAACAGCAGUGACUCUCCCUGCGUCCUCCCCAUCUUGUUUUCUGCUUUUCCAUACAAUGGCUUAUUCACUGCGUGUGACAUCAUCACUAGCACUAUGUUUAUCUAUCAAAGUUCUUCUGUUUUGUGGGUUUGUUUUGCAUUAAAGGUCUACUUAUCUGA
Long non-coding RNA from Symphalangus syndactylus (siamang), 3165 nucleotides. RefSeq lists it as uncharacterized. Lineage: Eukaryota; Metazoa; Chordata; Mammalia; Primates; Hylobatidae. The record is from RefSeq and is a predicted model, not a curated record.